This 301-nucleotide ribosomal RNA is filed under the name uncultured bacterium. RNAcentral's name for it is "partial 16S ribosomal RNA". It matches the Rfam family "Bacterial small subunit ribosomal RNA", at positions 509 to 809 of the family's 1533-position model. The record is from RNAcentral.
CAGUCGCCACGGUAAUACGGAGGGGGCUAGCGUUGUUCGGAAUUACUGGGCGUAAAGCGCACGUAGGCGGCUUUACAAGUCAGAGGUGAAAGCCUGGUGCUCAACACCAGAAUUGCCUUUGAGACUGUAUCGCCUGAACGUCGGAGAGGUGAGUGGAAUUCCGAGUGUAGAGGUGAAAUUCGUAGAUAUUCGGAAGAACACCAGUGGCGAAGGCGGCUCACUGGACGACUGUUGACGCUGAGGUGCGAAAGCGUGGGGAGCAAACAGGAUUAGAUACCCCCGUAGUCCCUGUCUCUUAUAU